Molecule: ribosomal RNA, 481 nt
Filed under: uncultured bacterium
Lineage: Bacteria
Description: bacterial SSU rRNA
Rfam family: Bacterial small subunit ribosomal RNA
Source: RNAcentral
UCCACGCCGUAAACGAUGUCGACUUGGAGGUUGUGCCCUUGAGGCGUGGCUUCCGGAGCUAACGCGUUAAGUCGACCGCCUGGGGAGUACGGCCGCAAGGUUAAAACUCAAAUGAAUUGACGGGGGCCCGCACAAGCGGUGGAGCAUGUGGUUUAAUUCGAUGCAACGCGAAGAACCUUACCUGGUCUUGACAUCCACGGAAGUUUUCAGAGAUGAGAAUGUGCCUUCGGGAACCGUGAGACAGGUGCUGCAUGGCUGUCGUCAGCUCGUGUUGUGAAAUGUUGGGUUAAGUCCCGCAACGAGCGCAACCCUUAUCCUUUGUUGCCAGCGGUCCGGCCGGGAACUCAAAGGAGACUGCCAGUGAUAAACUGGAGGAAGGUGGGGAUGACGUCAAGUCAUCAUGGCCCUUACGACCAGGGCUACACACGUGCUACAAUGGCGCAUACAAAGAGAAGCGACCUCGCGAGAGCAAGCGGACCUC